RNAcentral lists this ribosomal RNA (1134 nucleotides) under Streptococcus pneumoniae SPN021198. Its description in RNAcentral is "bacterial LSU rRNA". It matches the Rfam family "Bacterial large subunit ribosomal RNA", at positions 999 to 2138 of the family's 2925-position model. Lineage: Bacteria; Bacillati; Bacillota; Bacilli; Lactobacillales; Streptococcaceae. The record is from RNAcentral.
UAAGUUCCGUAGGGGAAAGGGGAACCCGCCCCAGGCCCCCAGGUUAAGUUCCCAAAUUAUUUGUUAAAGGAAAAAGGGUUGGGGGGUUCGCCCAACCAAACUAUGAAGUUUGGCUAGAAGCCACCUAUCCAUUCAAGAGGUUGGGUAAUAGCUCAUUAGUCGAGUGACCCUGCGCCCGAAAAUGUACGGGGGCUAAAACCAUUUUACCGAAGGCGUGGAUACCUUUAUAGGUAUGGUAGGAGAGCGUUCUAUGUGUGAUGAAGGUAUCCCGUGAGGAGUGCUGGAACGCAUAGAGGUGAGAAUGCCGGUAUGAGUAGCGAAAGACAGGUGAGAAUCCUGUCCACCGUAAGACUAAGGUUUCCAGGGGAAGGCUCGUCCGCCCUGGGUUAGUCGGGACCUAAGGAGAGACCGAAAGGUGUAUCCGAUGGACAACAGGUAGAUAUUCCUGUACUAGAGUAUGUAGUGAUGGAGGGACGCAGUAGGCUAACUAAAGCAGACGAUUGGAAGAGUCUGUCUAAGCAGUGAGGUGUGAAUUGAGUCAAAUGCUUAAUUCUAUAACAUUGAGCUGUGAUGGGGAGCGAAGUUUAGUAGCGAAGUUAGUGACGUCACACUGCCAAGAAAAGCUUCUAGCGUUUAAACAUACUCUACCCGUACCGCAAACCGACACAGGUAGUCGAGGCGAGUAGCCUCAGGUGAGCGAGAGAACUCUCGUUAAGGAACUCGGCAAAAUGACCCCGUAACUUCGGGAGAAGGGGUGCUGACUUAAAGUCAGCCGCAGUGAAUAGGCCCAAGCAACUGUUUAUCAAAAACACAGCUCUCUGCUAAAUCGUAAGAUGAUGUAUAGGGGGUGACGCCUGCCCGGUGCUGGAAGGUUAAGAGGAGUGCUUAGCGUAAGCGAAGGUAUGAAUUGAAGCCCCAGUAAACGGCGGCCGUAACUAUAACGGUCCUAAGGUAGCGAAAUUCCUUGUCGGGUAAGUUCCGACCCGCACGAAAGGCGUAAUGAUUUGGGCACUGUCUCAACGAGAGACUCGGUGAAAUUUUAGUACCUGAGAAGAUGCAGGUUACCCGCGACAGGACGGAAAGACCCCAUAGAGCUUUACUGCAGUUUGAUAUUGAGUGUCUGUACCACAUGUA